GCGGAGGAAAAGAAACCAACAGGGAUUGCCUUAGUAGCGGCGAGUGAAGCGGCAAAAGCUCAAAUUUGAAAUCUGGCACUUUCAGUGUCCGAGUUGUAAUUUGAAGAAGGUAUCUUUGGGUCUGGCUCUUGUCUAUGUUUCUUGGAACAGAACGUCACAGAGGGUGAGAAUCCCGUGCGAUGAGAUGUCCCAGACCUAUGUAAAGUUCCUUCGAAGAGUCGAGUUGUUUGGGAAUGCAGCUCUAAGUGGGUGGUAAAUUCCAUCUAAAGCUAAAUAUUGGCGAGAGACCGAUAGCGAACAAGUACAGUGAUGGAAAGAUGAAAAGAACUUUGAAAAGAGAGUGAAAAAGUACGUGAAAUUGUUGAAAGGGAAGGGCUUGAGAUCAGACUUGGUAUUUUGUAUGUUACUCUCUCGGGGGUGGCCUCUACAGUUUACCGGGCCAGCAUCAGUUUGAGCGGUAGGAUAAGUGCAAAGAAAUGUGGCACUGCUUCGGUAGUGUGUUAUAGUCUUUGUCGAUACUGCCAGCUUAGACUGAGGACUGCGGCUUCGGCCUAGGAUGUUGGCAUAAUGAUCUUAAGUCGCCCGUCUUGAACACGGGACCAAC
RNAcentral lists this ribosomal RNA (604 nucleotides) under Lodderomyces parapsilosis. RNAcentral's name for it is "Candida parapsilosis partial large subunit ribosomal RNA". It matches the Rfam family "Eukaryotic large subunit ribosomal RNA", at positions 50 to 664 of the family's 3401-position model. The record is from RNAcentral. Lineage: Eukaryota; Fungi; Ascomycota; Pichiomycetes; Serinales; Debaryomycetaceae.